This 459-nucleotide ribosomal RNA is filed under the name uncultured bacterium. Its description in RNAcentral is "partial 16S ribosomal RNA". It matches the Rfam family "Bacterial small subunit ribosomal RNA", at positions 338 to 795 of the family's 1533-position model. The record is from RNAcentral.
CCUACGGGUGGCAGCAGUGAGGAAUAUUGGUCAAUGGCCGGAAGGCUGAACCAGCCAAGCCGCGUGAAGGACGAAGGUGCCAAGCAUUGUAAACUUCUUUUGUCAAGGGACAAAAUCAGGCUCGAGAGCCUGACCGAGGGUACUUGAAGAAAAAGCAUCGGCUAAAUCCGUGCCAGCAGCCGCGGUAAUAAGGAGGAUGCGAGCGUUAUCCGGAUUUAUUGGGUUUAAAGGGUGCGUAGGCGGACUGUUAAGUCAGCGGUAAAAGGUCGGGGCUCAACCCCGGCGAGCCGUUGAAACUGGGUGUCGUGAGAGGUCGAGAGGAAUGCGGAAUGCGUGGUGUAGCGGUGAAAUGCUUAGAUAUUGCGCAGAACUCCGAUUGCGAAGGCAGCAUACCGGCGUCGUUCUGACGCUGAGGCACGAAAGCGUGGGUAUCGAACAGGAUUAGAUACCCGAGUAGUC